This 334-nucleotide ribosomal RNA is filed under the name uncultured microorganism. Its description in RNAcentral is "bacterial SSU rRNA". It matches the Rfam family "Archaeal small subunit ribosomal RNA", at positions 330 to 666 of the family's 1478-position model. The record is from RNAcentral.
GUGCACCAGGCGAGAAACCUCCGCAAUACACGAAAGUGUGACGGGGCCAUCCCGAGUGCCGUCCGCUGAGGACGGCUUUUCCCCAGUGUACAUAGCUGGGGGAAUAAGGAGAGGGCAAGCCUGGUGUCAGCCGCCGCGGUAAUCCAGCUCUCCGAGUGGUGGGGACGCUUAUUGGGCCUAAAGCAUCCGGUGCCGGCUGGGCAAGUCCUCCGUUAAAAUCCAACGAGUCAAUCGUUGGGCUGCGGGGGAUACUGUCCAGCUUGGGGACGGGAGAGGCCGACGGUAUUCCCGGGGUAGGGGUGAAAUCCUAUAAUCCCGGGAGGACCACCAGUGG